This is an RNA transcript of Cucurbita moschata (crookneck pumpkin), 2344 nucleotides long. It is a transcript of the gene named presenilin-like protein At2g29900, with no coding region annotated. The record is from RefSeq and is a predicted model, not a curated record. The transcript is spliced from 3 exons. NCBI's taxonomy places the organism in Eukaryota, Viridiplantae, Streptophyta, Magnoliopsida, Cucurbitales, Cucurbitaceae.
CAAGAAGACAGUCAAACAGGCCCUGGAAUUAGGUCGAACCAGGGUGAUGAUACGUUGAAGGUCAGACGAACGCAGAAUAUUGGUAGAUUGAACCCUCUGGGGAUUGAGAUUGUUAAUCAAUAAAGCUAUUUUUGUGCCCGUGCAAGAUGAAUGCUGUGUUUGUGGUUACGACUGCGUUGCCACUUCGAUGAAACACCAGUUUAGCAUCAGGCGAAGAGUGGAAUCAAUCUUGAAUCCAUCUUUCCCUUCAGAUUCAGAUUGUUGUGAGAGCCUCCGCCUUGAGAGUUGAAGUUUGAUCUGUAAUUAUAAAGACCCAGAUGGCCCAAAAUCAAAGGCCCACAAGCAUUCUUGAAUCUCUUGGGGAAGAGAUUAUUAGAAUUGUCGCCCCAGUUUCAAUCUGCAUGUUCAUGGUGGUUAUUCUAGUCUCUAUUCUCAACUCCAGCUCCUCGUCUUCUGCUGCAACAGUUAGCUCCAUCGCUACCAUUGCAUAUAAUGAAAGCAGCUCCGAUUCCUCGUGGGACAAAUUUACAGGUGCUCUUUUAAACUCCCUGGUGUUUGUGGCUAUCAUAACUGUGGCUACAUUCGUCAUGGUGUUACUUUUCUACCUCAGAUGCGUCAAGUUCUUGAAAUAUUAUAUGGGUUUCUCGGCUUUUGUCGUUUUGGGUUUUCUUGGAGGUGAAAUUGCAUUGUUCUUGAUUGAAGAUUUCGAUGUUCCUGUUGAUUGUUUCACUUUUUUGGUUGUUCUCUUCAAUUUUGCUGCUGUGGGUGUUUUGGCUGUGUUCAUGUCAAAAAUGCCCAUCCUUGUAACACAAGGGUACUUGGUUUUGAUUGGGAUGCUGGUGGCUUAUUGGUUUACUUUGUUACCCGAAUGGACUACUUGGGCUCUUUUAGUUGCACUGGCUCUCUAUGAUCUUGCAGCAGUUUUGCUUCCUGUUGGACCUUUGAGGCUGUUAGUUGAGCUUGCUAUAUCUAGGGAUGAAGAUAUCCCAGCUUUGGUUUAUGAGGCUCGGCCAGUGGUUUAUCAUGAAUCAAAUCCUAGGGAUGCAGUGCAAACAAGGAUGAGGGUAUGGAGGGAAAGAAAUGAAAUUUCGGGCAAUCUCCCUGCGGUUCUCGAUUCUGUUUCCGAGGGCAAUGUGGUUUCUGAAUCAAGUGUAGAUGAGAUUGAAACAUCCGAUUCAAAUCCUAAUAGUGAAUCAAGUGUUGUUAGAUCUGAAGAGGGCCAGGUUCUCAUAAGGAACAGUGAGCUUCUUGUUCCAUUAAUUGACAUUGGAGGGAACGUUCAGCCACACGGAGAAGAAGUUUCUGCAUCAAAUGAAAAUUUAAUGUUAGAGGGAAUUGGGUUGGGAUCCUCUGGGGCUAUCAAGUUGGGGCUAGGGGACUUCAUUUUCUAUAGCGUAUUGGUCGGCAGGGCAGCGAUGUAUGAUUACAUGACGGUUUAUGCGUGCUAUCUUGCAAUUGUAGCUGGUCUUGGAAUCACUUUGAUGCUAUUGGCAAUAUAUCAGAAAGCUUUGCCUGCUCUCCCAGUGUCGAUAGCACUAGGCAUCAUGUUUUACUUCCUAACGCGGCUCUUCCUCGAGAUAUAAUAAGAACGGUUGAUUGUUGAUGGUUAACGAUUGCACCCCUGUUGCUCAGUUUCUGUCUGGAGACCUUAGAACUUGACCUUGAAUCAGUUCCUGCAGCUCAGAAGCAAGAGUUGAGCCAUUUCUUGAUCUUCACGUUUAAGACAUUCCAUUCCAUACUCACCAAAUCAUCGAUGCUAUACUUUUCCAUUUCGAGAUUGAACAAAUACUCAUCCAACGCAUCUUUCCGCAUAUUAACAGAAGCCUGGCAGAAUUCCUGAAUACAAUUUGAAGUAAACACAAGAUUUGCGAUGGCUUUAAGAUGAAGGAUCAGGUGUGGAUGGACCAAGUUUACAACAUAUACGGCAGCCAUACUCUCCCUCUGGGGAUUUUCUUCCUCCAAAUUGUCCUCAACUGAAACAAAGGACUCGUUGUAGACACAUUAUAGCCAGACUGAAAGGGAGCAUAAUCGGGCUCAAAGUAUAGUUUGGGAAAGAAUUUCGUUUUGCUUCCGACUCUCAUUUAAGGAGACCUUCCCAUCUCCCAUAUCGCAAGCUUUCCUCAACGGUCUUCAUUUUGCUGUUUCUAUUCAUUUAGAAGUCUUGUUUUAUUUGGAUGAUAAAAAGGUCUUAUAUAGGUUAGGCUUAUGUUUAAAAGUUGUUUCGGACUUAGGGUUAGAAGUCAUAUAAUUAGAAAUCGAAGUCAUUCUCAAAGAUUUCAGGGCUAAUGAGGAACACUAAAUUAGCAUUACCAUUAUUGUCCAAUCAAAGCACGAUAAGUCAAUU